RNAcentral lists this ribosomal RNA (371 nucleotides) under uncultured Desulfobulbus sp. Its description in RNAcentral is "bacterial SSU rRNA". It matches the Rfam family "Bacterial small subunit ribosomal RNA", at positions 1014 to 1382 of the family's 1533-position model. The record is from RNAcentral. Lineage: Bacteria; Pseudomonadati; Thermodesulfobacteriota; Desulfobulbia; Desulfobulbales; Desulfobulbaceae.
UUCCAUCUGGAAGAAUCUGGAGACAGGUGCUGCAUGGCUGUCGUCAGCUCGUGUCGUGAGAUGUUGGGUUAAGUCCCGCAACGAGCGCAACCCUUGCCUUUAGCUACCAGCACGUUAUGGUGGGCACUCUAAGGAGACUGCCGGUGACAAACCGGAGGAAGGUGGGGAUGACGUCAAGUCCUCAUGGCCUUUAUGACCAGGGCUACACACGUACUACAAUGGCCGAUACAAAGGGCAGCGACACUGCGAGGUGAAGCCAAUCCCGUAAAAUCGGUCUCAGUCCGGAUUGGAGUCUGCAACUCGACUCCAUGAAGUUGGAAUCGCUAGUAAUCGUGGAUCAGCAUGCCACGGUGAAUACGUUCCCGGGCCUU